This 374-nucleotide ribosomal RNA is filed under the name uncultured organism. RNAcentral describes it as "bacterial SSU rRNA". It matches the Rfam family "Bacterial small subunit ribosomal RNA", at positions 526 to 896 of the family's 1533-position model. The record is from RNAcentral.
CGGGGGGAGCAAGCGUUGUUCGGAUUUACUGGGCGUAAAGGGCGCGUAGGCGGCCAGCACAAGUCAGUUGUGAAAUCUCCGGGCUUAACUCGGAAAGGUCAACUGAUACUGUGCGGCUAGAGUGCAGAAGGGGCAACUGGAAUUCUCGGUGUAGCGGUGAAAUGCGUAGAUAUCGAGAGGAACACCUGCGGCGGAGGCGGGUUGCUGGGCUGACACUGACGCUGAUGCGCGAAAGCCAGGGGAGCGAACGGGAUUAGAUACCCCGGUAGUCCUGGCCUUAAACGAUGGAUGCUUGGUGUCUGGAGUUUUAUAGUCUCCGGGUGCCGUAGCUAACGCGUUAAGCAUCCCGCCUGGGGAGUACGGUCGCAAGACUG